CGCCUCUUCGCCAGAUGUCAUCUGGGAGUGUUCCUGGCUCUUCUGGAGAGAACAUGAUUUACUAUCUCCUAACUGGUGUUGCUGCUUUUGGUGGUUUAUUUUAUGCCUACAGAGUAGUCACUUCAUCCCGCACCAAGUAUAUUGAACAUCUGAAUAUUCUUCAGGAGAGAGCUGAAGGGCGGAAAAACAAACCUUGGUCAAGCAAGGGUGAUGAAGAAGAGACGGCUGAAGUCACUGAAGCAGAGACAGCCACGGAAGAGGCUGAUGCGGUAGCUGCUGCUGCACCCGCAGCACAGGACGAGAGGGCUGGGGUACCCCCAGAAACUGGAGGGGAGAAUGACUUACCGGCUCCAGAUGCACCCCCUGCUGUGGAGGAAGCACAGCAGGAAGCUGCUGCUAAUUUGGAAGUUGCUGCUAAUUCAGAAGCUGCUGCAGUACAAGAAACUGUGAGUGAAGCCUUGGAUGUUGCAGCUUCUUCUGCCCAGGAGGAAAACUUAGACAGUGUCAAGGAAGGAGUAGACUCAGCAGCUCAAGACAUAUCUGACACACCCUCAAGGAACCAGGACGUUGAUGCUGAGGAGUCGGGACAAGCUCCAGAAGUUUCUGUGGAGGAGGAGACACCUGAAGAAGUUGCUAAGGAACCCUAAAG
Molecule: long non-coding RNA, 649 nt
Filed under: Athene cunicularia (burrowing owl)
Lineage: Eukaryota; Metazoa; Chordata; Aves; Strigiformes; Strigidae
Description: lncRNA (ENSACUG00000004117.1)
Source: RNAcentral